GGUGGAGCGAUUUGUCUGGUUUAUUCCGAUAACGAACGAGACUCUAGCCUACUAAAUAGACAACACUUUCUUUGAGUGUUGCGCUUCUUAGAGGGACAAGCGACGUUUAGUCGCACGAGAUUGAGCAAUAACAGGUCUGUGAUGCCCUUAGAUGUUCGGGGCUGCACGCGCGCUACACUGAAAGCAUCAACAUGCAUAUCAACCUACCUCGGAAGAGGCGGGUAACCCUUUGAAACGCUUUCGUGAUUGGGAUUGUGAAUUGCAAUUAUUUCACAUGAACGAGGAAUUCCCAGUAAGUCCGAGUCAUCAGCUCGGGUUGAC
RNAcentral lists this ribosomal RNA (321 nucleotides) under Nematoda environmental sample. Its description in RNAcentral is "SSU rRNA". It matches the Rfam family "Eukaryotic small subunit ribosomal RNA", at positions 1300 to 1644 of the family's 1831-position model. The record is from RNAcentral. Lineage: Eukaryota; Metazoa; Nematoda.